AUUUAUGGGUUUUCUAUGGGGUGUCUAUGUGGAUUUAUGGGGUUUCUAUGGGGCAGCUAUGGGGCAUCUAUGGGGCAUCUAUUGGGAUUCUAUGGGUUAUCUAUGGGGCAGCUAUGGGGUUUCUAAGGGGUAUCUAUGGGGUUUCUAUGGGGUGUCUAUGGGGUGUCUAUGGCGUACCUAUGGGGUAUCUAUGGGGCAGCUAUGGGUGUCUAUGGGGUUUUUAUGGGGUAUCUAUGGGGUAUCUAUGGGAUUUAUGGGGUUUCUCUGGGGUAUCUAUGGAGCAGCUAUGGGGUAUCUAUGCGGUUUUUAUGGGGUAUCUAUGGGAUUUAUGGGGUUUCUCUGGGGUAUCUCUGGGGUAUCUAUGGGGGAUUUAUGGGGGAUUAUUGGGGUAUCUAUGGGGUUUCUAUGGGGUUUCUAUGGAGUUUCUAUGGGGUAUCUAUGGGGGAUUUAUGGGGUAUCUAUGGGGUACCUAUGGGGUUUGUAUGGGCAGCUAUGGGGUAUCUAUGGGGUGUCUAUGGGGAUUUAUGGGGUAUCUAUGGGGUACCUAUGGGGUAUGUAUGGGCAGCUAUGGGGUUUCUAUGGGGUUUCUAUCGGGAUUUAUGGGGUAUGUAUGGGGUAUGUAUGGGGCAGGUAUGGGGUAUGUAUGGGGUACCUAUGGGGUAUCUAUGGGGUACCUAUGGGGAUUUAUGGGGUAUCUAUGGGGUACCUAUGGUGAAUGUAUGGGGCAGCUAUGGGGUGUCUAUGGGGUAUCUAUGGGGGAUUUAUGGGGUUUCUAUGGGGUACCUAUGGGGUAUGUAUGGGGUACCUAUGGGGUAUCUAUGGGGUACCUAUGGGGAAUGUAUGGGGCAGCUAUGGGGUGUCUAUGGGGUAUCUAUGGGGGAUUUAUGGGGUUUCUAUGGGGUACCUAUGGGGUAUGUAUGGGGUACCUAUGGGGUAUGUAUGGGGCAGCUAUGGGGUAUCUAUGGGGUGUCUAUGGGGAUUUAUGGGGUAUCUAUGGGGUUUCUAUGGGGAUUUAUGGAGUAUCUAUGGGGUACCUAUGGGGUAUGUAUGGGGUACCUAUGGGGUAUGUAUGGGCAGCUAUGGGGUAUCUAUGGGGUUUCUAUGGGGAUUUAUGGAGUAUCUAUGGGGUACCUAUGGGGUAUGUAUGGGGUACCUAUGGGGUAUCUAUGGGGUACCUAUGGGGAAUGUAUGGGGCAGCUAUGGGGUGUCUAUGGGGUAUCUAUGGGGGAUUUAUGGGGUUUCUAUGGGGUACCUAUGGGGUAUGUAUGGGGUACCUAUGGGGUAUCUAUGGGGUACCUAUGGGGUAUGUAUGGGGCAGCUAUGGGGUAUCUAUGGGGAUUUAUGGGGUAUCUAUGGGGUAGCUAUGGGGUAUGUAUGGGCAGCUAUGGGGUAUCUAUGGGGUUUCCAUGGGGAUUUAUGGGGUAUCUAUGGGGUAUCCAUGGGGGAUUUACGGGGUUUCUAUGGGGU
RNAcentral lists this long non-coding RNA (1467 nucleotides) under Chrysolophus pictus (golden pheasant). RNAcentral describes it as "lncRNA (ENSCPIG00010010927.1)". The record is from RNAcentral. Lineage: Eukaryota; Metazoa; Chordata; Aves; Galliformes; Phasianidae.